GUGGGGAAUAUUGGACAAUGGGCGAAAGCCUGAUCCAGCCAUGCCGCGUGUGUGAAGAAGGUCUUCGGAUUGUAAAGCACUUUAAGUUGGGAGGAAGGGUAGUAACCUAAUACGUUGCUACUUUGACGUUACCGACAGAAUAAGCACCGGCUAACUUCGUGCCAGCAGCCGCGGUAAUACGAAGGGUGCAAGCGUUAAUCGGAAUUACUGGGCGUAAAGCGCGCGUAGGUGGUUCAGUAAGUUGGAAGUGAAAUCCCCGGGCUCAACCUGGGAACUGCUUUCAAAACUGCUGAGCUAGAGUACGGUAGAGGGUAGUGGAAUUUCCUGUGUAGCGGUGAAAUGCGUAGAUAUAGGAAGGAACACCAGUGGCGAAGGCGACUACCUGGACUGAUACUGACACUGAGGUGCGAAAGCGUGGGGAGCAAACAGGAUUAGAUACCCGGGUAGUCC
RNAcentral lists this ribosomal RNA (450 nucleotides) under uncultured bacterium. RNAcentral's name for it is "bacterial SSU rRNA". It matches the Rfam family "Bacterial small subunit ribosomal RNA", at positions 354 to 796 of the family's 1533-position model. The record is from RNAcentral.